This 101-nucleotide small nucleolar RNA is filed under the name Rasamsonia emersonii CBS 393.64. RNAcentral describes it as "A. fumigatus snoRNA Afu_264". It matches the Rfam family "A. fumigatus snoRNA Afu_264". The record is from Rfam by way of RNAcentral. Lineage: Eukaryota; Fungi; Ascomycota; Eurotiomycetes; Eurotiales; Trichocomaceae.
UGCCAUGAUGAUACACAACCACAAAAAAUAUUUCUGGUACCUCUUGUGUCAGGGGCACACCUAUGUGGUGUUGCCUCAAUGAACGUAAGGGACUUCUGAUC